AGAGUUUGAUCAUGGCUCAGGACGAACGCUGGCGGCACGCUUAACACAUGCAAGUCGAACGAGAGAAGAGGAGCUUGCUUUUCUGAUCUAGUGGCGGACGGGUGAGUAACACGUGAGCAAUCUGCCUUUCAGAGGGGGAUACCGAUUGAAAACGAUCGUUAAUACCGCAUAACAUAAUUGAACCGCAUGAUUUGAUUAUCAAAGAUUUAUCGCUGAAAGAUGAGCUCGCGUCUGAUUAGCUAGUUGGUAAGGUAACGGCUUACCAAGGCGACGAUCAGUAGCCGGACUGAGAGGUUGAUCGGCCACAUUGGGACUGAGACACGGCCCAGACUCCUACGGGAGGCAGCAGUGGGGAAUAUUGCACAAUGGAGGAAACUCUGAUGCAGCGAUGCCGCGUGAGGGAAGAAGGUUUUAGGAUUGUAAACCUCUGUCUUCAGGGACGAAAAAAGACGGUACCUGAGGAGGAAGCUCCGGCUAACUACGUGCCAGCAGCCGCGGUAAUACGUAGGGAGCGAGCGUUGUCCGGAAUUACUGGGUGUAAAGGGAGCGUAGGCGGGAUCGCAAGUCAGAUGUGAAAACUAUGGGCUUAACCCAUAAACUGCAUUUGAAACUGUGGUUCUUGAGUGAAGUAGAGGUAAGCGGAAUUCCUAGUGUAGCGGUGAAAUGCGUAGAUAUUAGGAGGAACAUCAGUGGCGAAGGCGGCUUACUGGGCUUUAACUGACGCUGAGGCUCGAAAGCGUGGGGAGCAAACAGGAUUAGAUACCCUGGUAGUCCACGCCGUAAACGAUGAUUACUAGGUGUGGGGGGACUGACCCCUUCCGUGCCGCAGCAAACGCAAUAAGUAAUCCACCUGGGGAGUACGACCGCAAGGUUGAAACUCAAAGGAAUUGACGGGGGCCCGCACAAGCAGUGGAGUAUGUGGAUUAAUUCGAAGCAACGCGAAGAACCUUACCAGGUCUUGACAUCGUAUGCAUAGCUCAGAGAUGAGUGAAAUCUCUUCGGAGACAUAUAGACAGGUGGUGCAUGGUUGUCGUCAGCUCGUGUCGUGAGAUGUUGGGUUAAGUCCCGCAACGAGCGCAACCCUUACUGUUAGUUGCUGCGCAAGAGCACUCUAGCAGGACUGCCGUUGACAAAACGGAGGAAGGUGGGGAUGACGUCAAAUCAUCAUGCCCCUUAUGACCUGGGCCUCACACGUACUACAAUGGCUGUCAACAGAGGGAAGCAAAGCCGCGAGGUGGAGCGAACCCCUAAAAGCAGUCUUAGUUCGGAUUGUAGGCUGCAACCCGCCUACAUGAAGUCGGAAUUGCUAGUAAUCGCAGAUCAGCAUGCUGCGGUGAAUACGUUCCCGGGCCUUGUACACACCGCCCGUCACGCCAUGGGAGUCGGUAACACCCGAAGCCUGUAGUCUAACCGCAAGGAGGACGCAGUCGAAGGUGGGAUUGAUGACUGGGGUGAAGUCGUAACAAGGUA
RNAcentral lists this ribosomal RNA (1470 nucleotides) under metagenome. RNAcentral describes it as "bacterial SSU rRNA". It matches the Rfam family "Bacterial small subunit ribosomal RNA". The record is from RNAcentral.